Molecule: ribosomal RNA, 426 nt
Filed under: uncultured Rummeliibacillus sp.
Lineage: Bacteria; Bacillati; Bacillota; Bacilli; Caryophanales; Caryophanaceae
Description: bacterial SSU rRNA
Rfam family: Bacterial small subunit ribosomal RNA
Source: RNAcentral
AGGGAAUCUUCCACAAUGGACGAAAGUCUGAUGGAGCAACGCCGCGUGAGUGAUGAAGGUUUUCGGAUCGUAAAACUCUGUUGUAAGGGAAGAACCAGUACGUCAGGCAAUGGACGUACCUUGACGGUACCUUAUUAGAAAGCCACGGCUAACUACGUGCCAGCAGCCGCGGUAAUACGUAGGUGGCAAGCGUUGUCCGGAACUAUUGGGCGUAAAGCGCGCGCAGGUGGUUUCUUAAGUCUGAUGUGAAAGCCCACGGCGUAACCGUGGAGGGUCAUUAGAAACUGGGAGACUUGAGUGCAGAGUAGAAAAGUGGAAUUCCAAGUGUAGCGGUGGAAUGCGCGGAUAUCAGGAGGAACACCGAUGACGAAGGCAGGUCACUGGGCCGCAACUGACGCUGAGGAGCGAAAGCAUGGGGGGCGAACA